Molecule: long non-coding RNA, 415 nt
Filed under: Brassica napus (rape)
Lineage: Eukaryota; Viridiplantae; Streptophyta; Magnoliopsida; Brassicales; Brassicaceae
Description: long non-coding RNA (BNAP_LNC009527)
Source: RNAcentral
GGUGAGGAGAGCUGUUGGUACUUAUGUGUUUUCUUUUCGUAUGCACGUAUAUAUAAAUACAUUGUUUUUGCUCCCAAAAAUAUACAUGUAGAAUAUAAUUGAGAAAAAGACAAAAAUAGCACUAAAUCAAGUUUAGGUUCCCAAACUAGCACUCAAGGUCAAAAAUCACAAAAAUAGCACUUAAUGUGUUAUCAAAAGUCACAAACUUAGGGUUUAGAGUUAAAGGGUGGGGUUUAGGAUUUAGGGUUUAGGGUUUAGAGUUUAGGGUUUAGGGUUUAGAUUUUAGGGUUUAGGGUUUAGAGUUUAGGGUUUAAGGUUUAGAUUUUAGGGUUUAGGGUUUAGAGUUGAGAAAUGAGGUUUUGGGGAUAAGAUUUCAAAUUUUGAAAAAUAAAAAAAUUAAAAUUUUCAAAGAAUA